Molecule: ribosomal RNA, 405 nt
Filed under: uncultured prokaryote
Also listed under: 1 other name
Description: bacterial SSU rRNA
Rfam family: Bacterial small subunit ribosomal RNA
Source: RNAcentral
UGGGGAAUAUUGCGCAAUGGGGGAAACCCUGACGCAGCAACGCCGCGUGAGUGAAGAAGGCUUUCGAGUCGUAAAACUCUGUCUUUGGGGACGAAUAAUGACGGUACCCAAGGAGGAAGCCCCGGCUAACUACGUGCCAGCAGCCGCGGUAAUACGUAGGGGGCAAGCGUUGUCCGGAAUCACUGGGCGUAAAGGGCGCGUAGGCGGUAUGUUAAGUCAGGUGUGAAAGUUUUCGGCUCAACCGGAAAAGUGCACUUGAAACUAAUUUACUUGAGUACUGGAGAGGUAAGCGGAAUUCCUAGUGUAGCGGUGAAAUGCGUAGAUAUUAGGAAGAACACCGGUGGCGAAGGCGGCUUACUGGACAGAGACUGACGCUGAGGCGCGAAAGCGUGGGGAGCGAACAGG